Molecule: ribosomal RNA, 403 nt
Filed under: bacterium
Lineage: Bacteria
Description: partial 16S ribosomal RNA
Rfam family: Bacterial small subunit ribosomal RNA
Source: RNAcentral
UGGGGAAUAUUGCACAAUGGGGGAAACCCUGAUGCAGCGACGCCGCGUGAACGAAGAAGGUAUUCGUAUCGUAAAGUUCUGUCCUAUGGGAAGAUAAUGACAGUACCAUAGAAGAAAGCUCCGGCUAAAUACGUGCCAGCAGCUGCGGUAAUACGUAUGGAGCGAGCGUUGUCCGGAAUUAUUGGGCGUAAAGGGUACGCAGGCGGUUUAAUAAGUCGAAUGUUAAAGAUCGGGGCUCAACCCCGUAAAGCAUUGGAAACUGAUAAACUUGAGUAGUGGAGAGGAAAGUGGAAUUCCUAGUGUAGUGGUGAAAUACGUAGAUAUUAGGAGGAAUACCAGUAGCGAAGGCGACUUUCUGGACACAAACUGACGCUGAGGUACGAAAGCGUGGGGAGCAAACAGG